RNAcentral lists this ribosomal RNA (254 nucleotides) under uncultured bacterium. Its description in RNAcentral is "partial 16S ribosomal RNA". It matches the Rfam family "Bacterial small subunit ribosomal RNA", at positions 524 to 777 of the family's 1533-position model. The record is from RNAcentral.
UACGUAGGGUGCGAGCGUUGCCCGGAUUUAUUGGGCGUAAAGGGCGCGUAGGCGGCUCGGCACGUCCGUUGUGAAAUCGCCCGGCUCAACUGGGCGGGGUCAGCGGAUACGGUCGAGCUUGAGCAAGCUAGGGGGUAAUGGAAUUCCCGGUGUAGUGGUGGAAUGCGUAGAUAUCGGGAGGAACACCAGUGGCGAAGGCGGUUACCUGGGGCUUUGCUGACGCUGAUGCGCGAAAGCGUGGGGAGCGAGUCCGG